RNAcentral lists this ribosomal RNA (500 nucleotides) under uncultured bacterium. Its description in RNAcentral is "partial 16S ribosomal RNA". It matches the Rfam family "Bacterial small subunit ribosomal RNA", at positions 30 to 523 of the family's 1533-position model. The record is from RNAcentral.
AUUGAACGCUGGCGGCAUGCUUUACACAUGCAAGUCGAACGGUAACAGGGUGCUUGCACCGCUGACGAGUGGCGAACGGGUGAGUAAUGCGUCGGAACGUGCCGAGUAGUGGGGGAUAACGCAGCGAAAGUUGUGCUAAUACCGCAUACGUACUGAGGUAGAAAGUGGGGGACCUUCGGGCCGCACGCUAUUCGAGCGGCCGACGUCGGAUCAGAUAGUAGGUGAGGUAAAUGCUCACCUAGGCGACGAUCAGUAGCGGAUCUGAGAGGAUGAUCCGCCACACUGGGACUGAGACACGGCCCAGACUCCUACGGGAGGCAGCAGUAGGGAAUUUUGGACAAUGGGCGAAAGCCUGAUCCAGCCAUGCCGCGUGUCUGAAGAAGGCCUUCGGGUUGUAAAGGACUUUUGUCAGGGAGGAAAUCCCUAGUGCUAAUAACACUGGGGGAUGACAGUACCUGAAGAAUAAGCACCGGCUAACUACGUGCCAGCAGCCGCGGUAA